RNAcentral lists this non-coding RNA (102 nucleotides) under Xenopus laevis (African clawed frog). RNAcentral describes it as "Eukaryotic large subunit ribosomal RNA". It matches the Rfam family "Eukaryotic large subunit ribosomal RNA", at positions 2890 to 2984 of the family's 3401-position model. The record is from Rfam by way of RNAcentral. Lineage: Eukaryota; Metazoa; Chordata; Amphibia; Anura; Pipidae.
CUUCUUUAGAAGAAAUAUUGUGAAGCAGAGUUCACCAAGCGUUGGAUUGUUCACCCAAUAAUAGGGAACAUGAGUUGGGUUUAGACCCUCGUGAAACAGGUU